AUCUGGAAGGCCCGGCACACCCUGUUGGAGCCAGAAGUGCGCUACUACCUGCGGCAGAUCCUUUCUGGCCUCAAGUACUUGCACCAGCGCGGCAUCUUGCACCGGGACCUCAAGUUGGGAAAUUUUUUCAUCACUGAGAACAUGGAACUGAAGGUGGGGGAUUUUGGGCUGGCAGCCCGGUUGGAGCCUCCGGAGCAGAGGAAGAAGACCAUCUGUGGCACCCCCAACUAUGUGGCUCCAGAAGUGCUGCUGAGACAGGGCCAUGGCCCUGAGGCGGAUGUAUGGUCACUGGGCUGUGUCAUGUACACGCUGCUCUGCGGGAGCCCUCCCUUUGAGACGGCUGACCUGAAGGAGACGUACCGCUGCAUCAAGCAGGUUCACUACACGCUGCCUGCCAGCCUCUCACUGCCUGCCCGGCAGCUCCUGGCCGCCAUCCUUCGGGCCUCACCCCGAGACCGCCCCUCUAUUGACCAGAUCCUGCGCCAUGACUUCUUUACCAAGGUCUGUGGCUCCCCAGACCUCUAAGUCCAUCUGUGUAUUCCCAGGGAUUGAAAGGGGGCAGGUGACAGGACCCCUGGAGCCUCUCUUCUCUGUUCACAUGGUUCCCCUCCCUAGGGCUACACCCCCGAUCGACUCCCUAUCAGCAGCUGCGUGACAGUCCCAGACCUGACACCCCCCAACCCAGCUAGGAGUCUGUUUGCCAAAGUUACCAAGAGCCUCUUUGGCAGAAAGAAGAAGAAGAGUAAGAAUCAUGCCCAGGAGAG
This 764-nucleotide small RNA is filed under the name Pan troglodytes (chimpanzee). RNAcentral's name for it is "processed transcript". The record is from RNAcentral. Lineage: Eukaryota; Metazoa; Chordata; Mammalia; Primates; Hominidae.